Molecule: ribosomal RNA, 465 nt
Filed under: uncultured bacterium
Lineage: Bacteria
Description: bacterial SSU rRNA
Rfam family: Bacterial small subunit ribosomal RNA
Source: RNAcentral
GACGAACGCUGGCGGCGUGCUUAACACAUGCAAGUCGAGCGGUAAGGCCCUUUCGGGGGUACACGAGCGGCGAACGGGUGAGUAACACGUGGGUGACCUGCCCUCAGCUCUGGGAUAAGCCUGGGAAACCGGGUCUAAUACUGGAUAUGACUCCAUGACGCAUGUUGUGGGGUGGAAAGCCUUGUGCGGCUGAGGAUGGGCCCGCGGCCUAUCAGCUUGUUGGUGGGGUGANGGCCUACCAAGGCGACGACGGGUAGCCGGCCUGAGAGGGCGACCGGCCACACUGGGACUGAGACACGGCCCAGACUCCUACGGGAGGCAGCAGUGGGGAAUCUUGCGCAAUGGGCGAAAGCCUGACGCAGCGACGCCGCGUGAGGGAUGACGGCCUGGUGUAACGUACUUACUACGCUCCGACGAACGACGAGAGUGACGGUAGGAGCGAGAAGAAGACGACCGGACCGAACC